This 1136-nucleotide ribosomal RNA is filed under the name Escherichia coli. Its description in RNAcentral is "bacterial SSU rRNA". It matches the Rfam family "Bacterial small subunit ribosomal RNA", at positions 1 to 1126 of the family's 1533-position model. Lineage: Bacteria; Pseudomonadati; Pseudomonadota; Gammaproteobacteria; Enterobacterales; Enterobacteriaceae. The record is from RNAcentral.
AAAUUGAAGAGUUUGAUCAUGGCUCAGAUUGAACGCUGGCGGCAGGCCUAACACAUGCAAGUCGAACGGUAACAGGAAGCAGCUUGCUGCUUUGCUGACGAGUGGCGGACGGGUGAGUAAUGUCUGGGAAACUGCCUGAUGGAGGGGGAUAACUACUGGAAACGGUAGCUAAUACCGCAUAACGUCGCAAGACCAAAGAGGGGGACCUUCGGGCCUCUUGCCAUCGGAUGUGCCCAGAUGGGAUUAGCUAGUAGGUGGGGUAACGGCUCACCUAGGCGACGAUCCCUAGCUGGUCUGAGAGGAUGACCAGCCACACUGGAACUGAGACACGGUCCAGACUCCUACGGGAGGCAGCAGUGGGGAAUAUUGCACAAUGGGCGCAAGCCUGAUGCAGCCAUGCCGCGUGUAUGAAGAAGGCCUUCGGGUUGUAAAGUACUUUCAGCGGGGAGGAAGGGAGUAAAGUUAAUACCUUUGCUCAUUGACGUUACCCGCAGAAGAAGCACCGGCUAACUCCGUGCCAGCAGCCGCGGUAAUACGGAGGGUGCAAGCGUUAAUCGGAAUUACUGGGCGUAAAGCGCACGCAGGCGGUUUGUUAAGUCAGAUGUGAAAUCCCCGGGCUCAACCUGGGAACUGCAUCUGAUACUGGCAAGCUUGAGUCUCGUAGAGGGGGGUAGAAUUCCAGGUGUAGCGGUGAAAUGCGUAGAGAUCUGGAGGAAUACCGGUGGCGAAGGCGGCCCCCUGGACGAAGACUGACGCUCAGGUGCGAAAGCGUGGGGAGCAAACAGGAUUAGAUACCCUGGUAGUCCACGCCGUAAACGAUGUCGACUUGGAGGUUGUGCCCUUGAGGCGUGGCUUCCGGAGCUAACGCGUUAAGUCGACCGCCUGGGGAGUACGGCCGCAAGGUUAAAACUCAAAUGAAUUGACGGGGGCCCGCACAAGCGGUGGAGCAUGUGGUUUAAUUCGAUGCAACGCGAAGAACCUUACCUGGUCUUGACAUCCACGGAAGUUUUCAGAGAUGAGAAUGUGCCUUCGGGAACCGUGAGACAGGUGCUGCAUGGCUGUCGUCAGCUCGUGUUGUGAAAUGUUGGGUUAAGUCCCGCAACGAGCGCAACCCUUAUCCUUUGUUGCCAGCGGUC